UCAGGGUGUGGCUGAGUUAGCUAAGCAUCUCACUUACACCGAGAAGACAUCCAUGCAAGUUGGAUCGCCCUGAGCCA
This 77-nucleotide transfer RNA is filed under the name Gnathopogon herzensteini. RNAcentral's name for it is "tRNA-Val". It matches the Rfam family "tRNA". Rfam says of the family: Transfer RNA (tRNA) molecules are approximately 80 nucleotides in length. Their secondary structure includes four short double-helical elements and three loops (D, anti-codon, and T loops). Lineage: Eukaryota; Metazoa; Chordata; Actinopteri; Cypriniformes; Gobionidae. The record is from RNAcentral.